This 325-nucleotide ribosomal RNA is filed under the name uncultured Mycena. RNAcentral describes it as "eukaryotic LSU rRNA". The stretch from base 1 to 74 matches the Rfam family "5.8S ribosomal RNA", at positions 83 to 154 of the family's 154-position model. Lineage: Eukaryota; Fungi; Basidiomycota; Agaricomycetes; Agaricales; Tricholomataceae. The record is from RNAcentral.
AGUGAAUCAUCGAAUCUUUGAACGUCACUCUUGCGCCCUUUGGUAUUCCGAAGGGCAUGCUUGUUUGAGUGUCAUUAAACAUCUCAAAAACCUUUGGUUUGUUCUGAAGGCUUUUGGAUGUGAGGGCUUGCUGGCUUUCGGGUCUGCUCCCUUUAAAUGCAUUAGUGUAUUCCUUUGUGAACGGUCACUUGGUGUGAUAAUCUAUCUACGCCGCUUGACUUGAAGCAAGCCUUAUGGGAGUGUCGCUCAUAAUCGUCUUUCGAGACAACUCUUUGACCAUUUGACCUCAAUCAAGUAGGACUACCUCGCUGAACUUAAGCAUAUC